CGCCCUUAGAGUUUGAUCAUGGCUCAGAUUGAACGCUGGCGGCAGGCUUAACACAUGCAAGUCGAGCGGUAGGAGAGCUUGCUCUCUACGAGCGGCGGACGGGUGAGUAAUGUCUGGGAAACUGCCUGAUGGAGGGGGAUAACUACUGGAAACGGUAGCUAAUACCGCAUAACGUCGCAAGACCAAAGAGGUUCGUCUUGCCAUCAGAUGUGCCCAGAUGGGAUUAGCUAGUAGGUGGGGUAACGGCUCACCUAGGCGACGAUCCCUAGCUGGUCUGAGAGGAUGACCAGCCACACUGGAACUGAGACACGGUCCAGACUCCUACGGGAGGCAGCAGUGGGGAAUAUUGCACAAUGGGCGCAAGCCUGAUGCAGCCAUGCCGCGUGUAUGAAGAAGGCCUUCGGGUUGUAAAGUACUUUCAGCGAGGAGGAAGGGCAUUAAUAAUUUAGUGAUUGGACGUUACUCACA
RNAcentral lists this ribosomal RNA (468 nucleotides) under uncultured Serratia sp. RNAcentral's name for it is "bacterial SSU rRNA". It matches the Rfam family "Bacterial small subunit ribosomal RNA", at positions 1 to 483 of the family's 1533-position model. The record is from RNAcentral. Lineage: Bacteria; Pseudomonadati; Pseudomonadota; Gammaproteobacteria; Enterobacterales; Yersiniaceae.